UGAAACAUUAUUUCAGGAGACACAUAACAC
This 30-nucleotide non-coding RNA is filed under the name Mus musculus (house mouse). Lineage: Eukaryota; Metazoa; Chordata; Mammalia; Rodentia; Muridae. The record is from RNAcentral.